This 373-nucleotide ribosomal RNA is filed under the name uncultured Glomeromycotina. Its description in RNAcentral is "LSU rRNA". Lineage: Eukaryota; Fungi; Glomeromycota. The record is from RNAcentral.
UUGAAAGGGAAACGAUUGAAGUCAGUCGUACCUGUGGGUAAUCAGCCUUUUGGGUGUGAUUUUGUGGAGUGUGAGGAGUUAAACGCCUCCAUGCCUGCAUAUUCGUGCACUUUGGGUGUAUUUACCCGUGUGGUAAGUUAACAUCAAUUUCGGUGGUCAUAAAAUGGCUGGAGGAAUGUAGCUUCGAUCUUGUAUUGAAGUGUUAUAGCCUUCGGUAGAUGUGAUAAUCGGGAUUGAGGAUUGCAACGGAUACCCCUCGGGGCUACCUGUCUGAUCUCUGAUCGUUGCUCUGGUGCCGAAAGCUUGCUUACGGUUAUCAAAGUCGAUGGUCAAUAGGUUAGAACGGGUUAAAUUCGUUAAGGAUGUUGACGUA